CCGGACAACGUAGUUGAAACUUCAAACGGAAUUGAACGGGGGACCCGGCGACAAGCAGCGGAGCAUGUGGUUUAAUUCGUACGCAACACGAAGAACCUUACCUGGGCUUGACAUGUUCCUGACCGCUCUGGAAACCAGAGCGUCCCUUCGGGGCCAGGAUCACAGGUGGUGCAUGGCUGUCGUCUAGCUCGUGUCGUGAGAUGUUGGGUUAAGUCCCGCAACGAGCGNAACCCCCGUCGCAUGUUGCCAGCAUUAAGUUGGGACUCAUGUGAGACUGCCGGUGACAAACCGGAGGAAAGGUGGGGACGACGUCAAGUCAUCAUGCCCCUUAUGUCCAGGGCUACACACGUGCUACAUUGGCGCGUACAGAGGGCUGCGAUACCGCGAGGUGGAGCGAAUCCCUCAAAGCGCGUCUCGGUUCGGAUUGCAGGCUGAAACCCGCCUGCAUGAAGGUGGAGUUGCUAGUAAUCGCGGAUCAGCAAUUGCCGCGGUGAAUACGUUCCCGGGUCUUGUACACAGUCGACGCGGCC
RNAcentral lists this ribosomal RNA (530 nucleotides) under uncultured bacterium. RNAcentral's name for it is "bacterial SSU rRNA". It matches the Rfam family "Bacterial small subunit ribosomal RNA", at positions 903 to 1387 of the family's 1533-position model. The record is from RNAcentral.